GAGUAUCAGAGUUGUUCUUACAUAGCACCAAGCCAAAACUCAGAGUUUUGAAGACAGAAAUUCAAUCCAUUCUGCUGGACUUCACCCCAUUAUGGCCAAUAGACUCUUUUGCUGGGUCUCCAUUUUUCUCUUUGGAGCAGCACCCACUGAAACAGGAAUCACUCAGACACCGAGAUACCAGGUCACAAAGGUGAAGCAGGAGGUGACGCUGACAUGUCAACAAAAUAUGGGGCAUCCUACCAUGUACUGGUACCAACAGGAACCACAGAAAGGAUUCAGGACAAUGUUUUCUUAUACUUAUAAGGAUAUGAAUUUAAAUGAGACUGUUCCUCCAAGAUUUGACCCUGUAUCAUCAGGGAAUGGUCACUUGACCCUCAAAAUCUAUCCUGUGGAAGCAGAAGACUCAGCCACCUACUUCUGUAGCAGCAGCAAAGACACAGCCUUGCAGAGUCAUCUCCCAGCUGUGCAGAAACCUCCUGUCCCCGGCAUAGGAAGAAAGGAGGGAGAACAGUCACCACAUCAGAGAUCUGGCUCACAAUGGGAAGUUCUGGAGGGAGGAGGAACUCUCAUAACCAUGUCAUAA
Molecule: non-coding RNA, 583 nt
Organism: Antechinus flavipes (yellow-footed antechinus)
Lineage: Eukaryota; Metazoa; Chordata; Mammalia; Dasyuromorphia; Dasyuridae
Source: the annotation of a RefSeq genome assembly